GGGCGUGGGAAGGGUUUGCUCUGGGACAAAGACAGAGGAUUUACAGGGACUGCUGUUGACCUCUGGGUAGUUCAAGAGGCUGCUCCGCCAAUUCCCCCCAACCCCGACAGGGUAUGUAGAGUGCAGCGGGAGAGAGGGGAGAUGACGCUACGCUGGGUGUUGGGGGCAGACAACUAGGCUGGGCGCUCGGGAGGGCCAGGGCUCAGGUUGUGUGCCCAGCUGAAGCUAGGAGAGCCUCCAUAGCCACGCAGCCCGCAGCCCUCAGCCCUGCGGAACUGGCUCGACAGCGACAUCGUGUGGCAGGUAUAGAAUCGUGGCUUCUCUACCGGAUAAGUGAGCCAAAGGUGUCCUGAAACAGUUGCAGAAGAAAGUCAAGUGACAACGAGGAUGCUGCUGAUCAGCAGGCUGGAAAGGGUGACUGUCUUGCUGAUGGUGUUACACAAUGAGCAAACUGCAGAUGAUUCCACCAGAGGGCAGUAGAGCACAGUGUUCAGAGUUUGGGAGCUGGGCCUGCAGGAUUAAAGGCACCUGCAGCAGAGCUUUCUCUUGACUCCUUCAAGUUGUCCUCUGACCUCCACAUGUGCUUCAAGGAGAGUGGAGUGGAGGCUGACGGUGAAUCAUUUUGGACCACAAUGAGAGACGACAGAACAAACUGAAUCAAUGUGCCUUGAUGGUGAAGAACUUUCCACUGGGGCUCAAAAGAAGAAGGGGCCAUCUGGAGGUGUCAUCUGCUAGGAGAUGAAGGCUGCAGUCUGCGUGGUAGCUGUCUCCUUAUUACAUACGGCUGCUUCAAUGUUUGCCCGCUCUAUCAGAUCAGGAAGACCGAUAUACAGUGCAUCCAUAUUUUCAGAAGCCACUGGUGUGGAAGGAGAAAAAGAACAUGAAGAACAAGUGCACUAGUAGAACUGCUAUAACCAGAAUCAUCUGGAACAUUGCCUAAUGCAUAUGCAGAUGCCAUAGAAGUGGUCCUCGGGGCACACAGGUGUUUUCUCCUUGGCCCUCAAGUAAUACGCUCAUUUAGCUGCCAGUGGUUGCCUGGAGGGAACUGUUUGCUUCCUGCAUCUCAGGAACCGCAUGUGUCCGGCAAUGGACAUCAUCACAGACCCAGUUGUAGCAGGACUAUGGACCCAUACAUGGCCCUCAGUAGCAGCUCAGGACCAGAUGCCACCAUAAUCCCAGUGACCGCACAGACCAGCACAAAGGUAUGUAAUAUUUUAACCUUCAGAGCAGAUCUGGAUGUUAUAUCCCCACCCAUCCAGU
Myodes glareolus (Bank vole) is the source of this 1260-nucleotide non-coding RNA. Lineage: Eukaryota; Metazoa; Chordata; Mammalia; Rodentia; Cricetidae. The record is from RefSeq and is a predicted model, not a curated record.